Acinonyx jubatus (cheetah) is the source of this 12681-nucleotide long non-coding RNA. RefSeq lists it as uncharacterized. The record is from RefSeq and is a predicted model, not a curated record. The transcript is spliced from 2 exons. NCBI's taxonomy places the organism in Eukaryota, Metazoa, Chordata, Mammalia, Carnivora, Felidae.
UGGAUUGAUUGCGGCGGUCUCUGUAGGUAUGGUUGGUUAAUCUACUAAAGGGAAACAAGAGCUGAGCAGUCAGAUUUUCCUCCAUCAGCUCCUGAGCUAUGAUAUCUUGUGAGGGAAUGUUGGAGAAUGGCGUGAGAGCUGCAGUUGAAUUUGAGUCUCCGGCUCCCAGAUUGCUGGCCUUCUUGCCCAGCCUACAUCUCACCACUCAGCCUUUUAAUCCGUUACAGAAUCUGAUUCUGUCAGGAGGGCUUCAGGUCUAGAUCUUUACCUGGUGUGGAUAACUGCUCUCGAGAAGUUAGUGACAAGCCCCAGGAUGUGAAAAAAUGGUUUCCAUGUGAAUACUGCUGAACUUCCUGAUGAUUCUUGGGAAGAGGCUGACUGAAUGUUAACAUGUUACUUCUGAGUUGAAAUGCGCCUACUGUAGAUCUAGGCUUGCAUCAUGUUACUGCCAUGUCUGUGUAGACUCCAAAAAUCAGUGUCAGUACUUUCCAAGGUUUUCUUUUCUUUACUUCUGUACUCUCUUCUUCCUUAAGUUUGGCCUUAACAUUUUGGUCUUGGGAUGUUUUCAAUGACUGUAAGGGAAGCAAUACCUUGCAUGGCAAGUUGAAAUAAUGUGAUUCGUUAUUAAGACUCGUAUCUUUCUAGACAGGAUAGUAUUCUUCACUGCAUUCUUUAUAUGACUAGCAAUUUUAUUUAUUUAUUUAUCUAUCUAUUCAGCAUAUCAUAUAUUAGCACCAUGUCUAUAGGUAAUAUGAUAGGUACUAGAGAUACAAGAAUUACAGGAAAUGCUUCGUUUCCUCAAAAAGCUCUUUGACUGUUAGAGGAUACAGACAAGCCAAUGGUGAUUUCUAGUACUGCGUGAGAAGUUCUGUGAGAGGCAUAUACCUAAGGUCGGUGUGUGUGGUGGGGGGGGGGAUCUAGAAAAGCUUCCUUAAGUAAUAAUUUGCUGAACUUUAAGAAUGAGUAGUAUAGCCAGGUAAAGUCGGUGGGGGAGGCUGUAUAAGGGAACAUUGUGGCCAAAGGCAUGAAGUAAUGUGGAAUGCAGGAAGCAGUUGAGUAGAGCGUGAGCUUCUGUAAGGUGAGUAGAGGUGUGGAGGCACAAAAAGGGCCUGGAUCAUGGAGGACUGGGUAUGCCAUGCUAAGGAGUUUAUUUUGAAUUCGGCAGGCAGUGGGCAUGCAGUGAAUGAAAGCAACAUUUGAUGCAGGGAACUCAGGAUCUAGGGAUGUAUCGGAGUGAUUUAUGGGAAAGUCUUGGGUAAGAUUUUAUGCUGAUGUGAAGGAAAGGAACCCAGGCUGAGAGAGGGUAGAGACACAGGAAAGAGAAAGUAUAAUACAUUGAACAAUAUUCAUCUUUUUGCUCACACUUCCUGGAUAACUGCAAUAUCCACUGACUAGAUUUUCUUAUUUAUUUAUUUAUUUAUUUAUUUGUUUGUUUGUUUGUUUGUUUUUGAUAGCUGUUUUUAUGGCUUGGCUUUUUUACUUAUAGGUCUGCCCUUUUUGGUCUUUUGUUAAAUCUUCCUCAAUUUGAAAGUGAAAUAGUAAACUAAUGUCAAAUGUUUUCCAAAUUCUGUUUUAAGAAUAAUCCAGGUCUUUCAAAACUUCAGUAAUGUGGGCUGUAAAAAAAAAAAAAAAAAAAAAAAAUCUGUAACUGCCCAACUGGUUUAUGUCAACAUUUUGGAAAGAAUAUCAGUCUUUAAAAUGGCGAUAGAGAUACAAACCCCCAGGGGAGUGAAGAAUGCCUGGUGCAUGCUAAUUUUGUACUUAUCCAGGUGGAAGAGAGAGAGGAAUAGCCAAAGCUAUAGAUAGAACACAGGGAUGUCAAUUGCAACCUGGUGUCAGUUUGGGCUUGGCUCUCUUCACUAAUCCCAUAUCAAAAUGUUAGUGGUUUACUUAUUUAUUUCGAACCUGAGUCAUAUUAAGAUCUUAUUUGACAAAUCUCAUUUUGAUUUAUAGUCUGCGCUUUUGGCAUGUGCUUUAAUGGCAUUAGCCAACUCUAGACACAUACUGAAUUCAUUAUGUACCUUAUGUAUGUAAGUAGUAAUACUUCCUUUUAAUGAACAUACGGUCACAUCAAAGUGCUGUGGAGUGGUUUUACAAAAGCGUCUUUGGGCAGCAUUCCUCAGAAGUUCGAGACGUGUGUUAAGUGGAAGACUAAUAUGCUGUAUUUCAAGUUAUAUUUUAAUGGAGUAAUAUAUUAUAAUUUUGCCCUCUCCUUCAGGUGAACAGACUGUUAGAGUCCGUUUGGGUCUUUGAUUCUUAGGCUUAAGUGUUUAAUUAGAAUCCAGCAUUUUUGAUGUAUAAAUUUUUGCAAACAGAUGAAUUAAAAACUCAUCAAAUAAAAUCAACUUUGAAUAUGUAUCUUGAACUAGGAUAUUGAUAAAGGUAGAUGAGUGACUCUUUUUCUUCUUUGCUGUAAGUGGUAAGAGACUCGCAGAACCUGCUUUUAUAGCUAGCUCUGUAUGUGGCAGCUACACCUUGGCCAUGUCUGCUGAAACGUUUCUUGUCCUUGCAGUAUGGACUGCCUUCAAUGACUUUGAAGGGCAGGGCUUUCCCAAGGCAAGCUGGUAGAAGUGAACCAGGAACGAUCUGGCCUGACUAUGAGCAGUCUUCCAAAGGGAGUGACUGUCUGCUGUCUUAGUACUCCUCAUCUCAGUCCUUAUCAGUGGAGGAGGCGGACUGAGCAGGGAAGCAGUGUUCUCAGUGAAGUGAUGACCUGUGGAGUCAAGUGCAUAACAGCAUCUUGGGGAUUCUUUAGGAGAAAGCACAGCAUGUGUGUGUUUGUGUGUUUGUUGGGGGGGGGGGUGGUCUAUGGCAGACACUAGGCAUCCUCCUGAAAUGGAGAGACAGAGGCCAGUUCUUGAGGGAAGAGCUAGGCAGAACGUCAGAGCUCUGGCCACGUAAGUUUGAGAUGAGAGCAGAGUUCUAGUACAGGUAGGAAUCUAGGGGUGCAAAGCAGAUAUUGUGCAGACUUCUUAUGCUUGCUGUGUCUGGCAGGGGACACUAUAGCCUGGUAAGCAUCAGGGAUUCCUUGUCUAAGGGUUCCCUGAAGGUAGGUAACAGUUUGUAGGCAGAUUCUAAUGCUGGAGGGAUGAGACUCCUAUAUUGCCAAGUAUGAUCAAGACUGACUCAGGAUUGACUCAGGGGCCGCUUAAGUCUGAGCCAGGAUCUGUCUUUGACAAUAGCCACUGACGAGCAUUUCCAGGAAGACUUUGAGAAUUGCUGGGAAUAUGGGCAAGAAACCCAACUCACUGAAGUAUGGUAUUUGACUAUUUUUUUCAUUAUAAAAUAAAAGGGAAAACAUUAGUAAUAGUCUUGAUAUAUCCCAGCCUUGUAUUUAAAAGUUGUAAGUAAAGCUAAAAAUAUAUUUUUUCAAUGUGACGUGCCAUUGUAUGAUAUCUAAAUUUAUCAUUACUAUUUUUAUAUUACAUGAGAUGACUAGAAGUGUGAGGGUGUGGGUAGUUUUUGUUGGUUGGUUUCAUUGGGGUUUUUUGUUUGUUUGUUUUUUUCCAUUUGAACCUUGCUGUAUCUUACCAUUCUGUAGCAUUUCAGAGACAAGGAGAAGAUUUUUUGACAUUCGUUGAGGUCUUUUAUGGUGAAACAACUGUUUUAAUGGUACUAUUUGAUAUUAAAUUAUGUAAUAGUUUGUCAAAAGUGAGCCUGUAACCUAUUUUUGAAUCAUUCAUUUUUUAAUUUUCUUACAUAUUUAUUGAGUGCAGAUUUGAAUAAAACUCCCUAGAAUAUUAGAAAUGUCUUCUCAAGUACAGGGAGGCAUUGAUUAGCUCUGUAGUCAUUUUUUUCCCCCUUGAAGGGGACUUUCUGAACAACUUGGUGUGAAAAUGUGGACAACACAUGACAGGGUAAAGGAAACUUCACCUGAACCAAAUGAACCAUACAUUUGUUAUUGGGAGACUAGCUCAGCAUAAUGGUGGUGCUGGCAGCAAAAAUAAACCAACUUCCCUCACUCCCUUCCUUCUAUCCUUUCUUUCUCUUCCUCUUUUAAAAAUUUACAUUUUUUCCAGCUUUAUUGAGGUAUAAGUAAGAAAAUUAUAAGGUAUUUAAAGUGUACAGUGUGAUGAUUUGAUAUAUGUAUACAUUGUGAAAGGAUACUCAUUGUAUUGAGUUACAAAUUUUUAACUUUUUAUUCUCAAAAUGUGCAAAGGUAUACAAAAGGAGAAGAGAAUUUUGGACUUAAACGUACUGUCUCCACCUAGAACAAUUGUCAACUCAUGGGUAAUCUUAACCUAUUUUUUUUUCCUUUCACCUUCUCUCUCUCUCUCUCUCUCUCUCUCUCUCUCUCUCUCUCUCUCUCAUAUUUUUUCCCUCUAGAGCAGAGGUCAAAUCCCUGCCUGCCUCUUAUUUUGUGGGCUGAGAAUGAUUUUUACAUUUAUAAUGGUUAAAUUAUGUGGCACAAAAUUGUAUAAAAUUUACAUUUUAGCAUGUUCAUUUGUUUGGGUAAUGUCCACAACAGAGUUGAGUACAUCAAUAGAGAUCAUAUAGCCUUUACAUAAAAAGUGCACCAUCCCCAACUUAGAACAUUUUAAAGUAUAGUUAACUUAUAAGGGCAUUCUUCUUUUUUUUUAAACUUUUAUUUAAAAAAAAUAAAAAGCCGUUAUUACAGCCAACCUAAUCAAAGACAAUUUUCAGUAUCCUCCAGUAUAUCCAUGUUCAAGUUUUAUAUGAGAUGUAGUUUGGCCAGCUAGAAGUUGAAGUAUCAUUGAAGGACAGAAUAAUGAAAUAAAAUGUGUGUGUGUGUGUGUGUGUGUGUGUGUGGAUUUUUUUUAAACUCAGAAAUGUGCAUUUUCUUUUUUUUUUUUAACUUUUUUAAUGCUUAUUUAUUCUAAAGAAAGAGAGAGAGAGAGACCAAGUGUGAGUGGAGGAGGGACAGAGAGAGAGGGAGACACAGAAUCCAAAGCAGGCUCCAGGCUCUGAGCUGUCAGCACAGAGCCCGAUGCCGGGCUUAAACUCACGAACUGUGAGAUCGUGACCUGAGCUGAAGUUGGACGCUUAACCCACUGAGCCAUCCAGGCGCCCCUGAAAUGUGCAUUUUCAAAUGAGAUAAUAGAAUGCAAUUAUCUAAGUUAUUUUUCUUUUUUUUUAAUUUUUUUUUUGUUUAAUGUUUAUUUAUUUUUUGAGACAGAGAGAGAAAGAGCAUGAACAGGGAGGGUCAGAGAGAGAGGGAGACACAGAAUCUGAAACAGGCUCCGAGCUGUCAGCACAGAGCCCGAUGCGGGGCUCGAACCUACGGACCGCGAGAUCAUGACCUGGGCCGAAGUCGGACGCUCAACCGACUGAGCCACCCAGGCGCCCCAGUCUAAGUUAUUUUUCUAGCCUUUUUAAAAGUAUGGGUAGUCAUACUGAGUCAUUGGCAAUUUACAACUCAAGCUAUUUUCUCAAAGCAGAAUAUCUUUUUUCUUACUAUGGCUAGUUUAUUUUUUCUCCUCCGUGUUUAACUUUACAGAAGAACAAAUCUGUUGGCUUUAAAAAUAUGGCUAGAGCAUCUGGCAUAGUAUUUGAUGAUUGUGUUUGCAAUAUUGACAUCAUUUCAUUGAUAACUGCAUUGUGCAUAAACUUUGUCUUUUCAUCUAUCUAUUCUACUAGCUGUUAGGAGGUAGUUAAGUGGCAGCAAAGCGAGGGCUAUGUCAAGCUCAUUCUCACAGCCUUUACACCUCAGUCUUCUGCCUCAGCAUAUGAUCGUGAUUGUAAAGGUUGAGAGUAUCUAUUAUUUUCAUUUCUCUCAGGGUGGUCAGGCUCUGCUAAGUUGAUGAUUACUAGCCAAACUCACAGGCUAUUGAAUUAUAAAUGGAUUAUUUUAGACAACAAAUAGGUUAGCACCUUCCAACAUACCAAGUACCAGUUGUCCUUGAUGCAGGUAAAUUGGUGGUGGUGAUAGUUGGGGUGGAUAGAAUUAAGUCCCUGGUCUUCAUUUAUUGAUUCUUAUGGGAAACCAAAUACCCCUUGUAGAUCAGAUGAGUCAUAAUUACUGUUGGAAAAAAAAAAAAAUCCAGUAGGGCAAACUUACUUGAAUAACCAAACUAAGAUCAGAAUUUUGCUUAGUAAAUACCAAGUUCAAGUAGAAGCUGUUGGAUAUUCUUACUACAGUUUGAAACAAUGCCUGUUAGAUAUAUUUGUCAAAUGAGUCUGAGGUUUUGUUUUUAUAGUUAAAAAGAGUUCAAUUCUUACUUGUCUUCCUCUUUUAGAGUUUCAAGCCCCAAAUAAAGUUUCUCAGUAAACACUGAAUGUGGGUUACUAAGAGAUAUUCUGAAAACUGAGGAAUAUUUAUGAUUUGGAUAACAAAUAAAAGACUAUCUCAAACAAAAGGGAAGGGAAGGUAAAUUUAGUAGAAGGGAAUGUUUUUUAACAGUAAUAGCUUCAUUCUUAGAAGGCUUCCCGGUUGACAAAUGCUUCCGCUUAUGGAUUAAUUGGAUCAUUGCAGUUACUCUAGAAGGUCAGCACAGAGCUUGGUGUUAACCUUAUUUUGCAGAUGAAAAAACAGAUUCUGAGGGGCAAAAGGACCAGGCCCAGAAUCAAGUCAGUCUGUGGCACGUGGGUCCUGAACGCAGGUAUUCUGAGUCUCCAGCCCCCGGGUUCUCCCCGGGUGCCUAGAAUUAGCCUGCUUUUCAUGUUAAUGUGACAGUAGGCAUUCUCUUCAAUCAGUACAUUGGGGUCUGGUCAGACUGAUUUGAUAACAAUUUGAUAAGGUGUGGAAUCUUCCUGUGAUUAGAGAGAGAAAUCUGAUAAGAUACGGGACUCGCCAUGCAACAGAUAAAGGUUCUCAAAAGGCUGCUUCCAGUUAGAAUUCCCCAGCCGGCCCUCAGCACAUGGUUGCAUGUAUUUAUUAUGUAGCUCACACUCAGAAUGGCCCCUGGGGCCGGUUGAACCAUUCCAGCCGGUUUGUAAAAAGUUGUGUGCAUAAACUCACACACAAAUGAGGAGACGGGCACUGAAAGGUGGUUCCGUGUAAGUGAAAGGAUUCUUUCACUCACUUUUGCCUGUCCCGUUUCCCAUUAAAGGGCUUCUGCUUUGUUACAGAAUUAGAUUCUCAAGUUUCCAGUUCGUUUCUUUGAAGUUUUAUGAGCGCUAUGUAGAAAAUUGGUAGAGCUGGCAGGAACCUGAGAGAUCUCAAAGUUCCAUUCUGUGGCUCAAGCGAUGAGGAAACUGAGGCAGGGGUUGGGACUUGCCUAGAUUUUUAGGCACAGGCCUUGAGCAAGAGGCAGAAAUGCUGGGAAGCCUGAAGACAUAGCCUGAAAAAUGAGGGCCCCAAAAUUAUUUGUGGCAACCAACGCCACAGAUGCCAUCCUGUGCUUGCACUGGUCCACCGAAGACUUUUAGUGCUGAUUAUUGUGUGUCACAUCUUGUUCUGCCAUCGCCGCAGGCGUCUCUGCCACUGCCACCCCCUAGAAAGGGGUGAUGCUGCUGCUGUUUGCCUCCCCCUUCAUACUGGAUUUCUCAUGGUCCCAUGCUCUGGGUCACUAGCUCUAGGUUGAAGUCUGUCGAGAGCCUCUGACUGGAGCCAGUUCGGAAGCCUGAGUCUCAGCGGACCUUCUUUCUCUCCUGUGGGAGGUGGAGCCUUGAGCCCCUCUGUGAAACUUACAUGGUGGAGAGAAGGGAGUUAGUUGCUGGGAAGCAAAAGCAAACAAUAUCCACACGAUUAGCUGUAAUAGUGGCUAAUCGGUUAGUGGCUGCUGGAGGAAUUAGAACUUGGUUCUUUUGAUUUUUCCCAAUUUGUAGCAAGUGUUGAUCUCCUUUAUAAAGACUGGCAGAGACUCCCUACUUUUAAGAGAAAAUGAAGUCAGCUGCAUUAAGAUUUGGUUAUUCUGAUAUUUUGAAAUGCUUAUCCUGUCAAUGCUGUUUUCCACUGGAUUGAAAACCAUUUCCCUGUCUUUCUAUCCACUGUGGCAUACGAAAUAGUUGUUCCUCAGUGGUAAAAAGUGAUGAGAGAGAAAAAGAGCAAACCGUAUUCACGAAGUGCAGAGAUUAGAGAUCAGUUGUUACACAUUUCAAGGAAAGUUUGUCACAAUGAGCAGUAAACCAUUUCGAACUAGAAAGUAAACACAGCGUUUUUGUUUUUAUUUUUGAAGUAUUUUAGGUUGUAGCCAUAUCUUCCAAUUAAGGUGUAAAGCCAUCUUGACUUUCCAGGAAAUUUUUUUUUUUAACCUUUUAAUAAUAGUUAAUAUUUGUUGAGAGCCAUUAUGUUGUAACAUACAUUAGUUAUCUUACUUAUUCCUCACAUUAACCCCAUGUCAACCCCAUUGCCAUUCCCCUUGUGUAGAUGACCGAAUGGAACCUUAGAUAAAGCAACUAGCGUGAGGUCUCAUCGUUGGUAGGGAAUGGACUUGACCAGAAGCACAUGUUUCUAUGAAAUACACCUUGCAAUCUUCUUAGAACAUAGGAGAGACAAGAAGAUGUGUGUGGAGUGCUAUUCUUGGUGAUAUCUUAGGAAAACGGCAGAGGAAAGAGAAAGGAAAUAUGGUUGAGUAUUGAAGGGCCUUUUUGGAACUUGUGACUUUUCCAAGUUAGACUGAAAAUUUGCUCUUGUGUCGCAGAACCCUCGAGCGGCCAGACCAAUCUGUUUUAAUUUCUGCUCCCCACAGUGAUCCUGAGCUCCAUGCCUGGCACAUAGUAGGUGUUUGUGAAACAUUGGUAAGAGAAAUAAGUCUCAAGCAUCCUCAGGACAGUUAUUUUGGGUUAAUAACUCCCAGACCAUAGGGCUCAGGAAAUGAAGGCCCUCACCGUCAAAGCUAGAUAUGCUAAGAUAAUGAAUCAGUGGCUUUGGUGCAUUUCACAAACAACCGAGGAAGAUUAUCUCUGGUUUUAGGCCACGUAUUGUAAGGUCUAUAAAAGCCUCUCUAUAGUGUGUCUGGCUGACUGACUUUACAACUUCAUUUCAAUUAAUUUUUGUCUCAUUACUUCUUUUCUCUUUUUCUCCCUUCAAAGUACAAAAGCCUGUUUUUGGCUUGUCCUAGAGAGAGAAUUAAUUGCCCUGGGGAGGUACCCAAGGGGAGGGGUCUUCACUGUAAAUUGGAUGUAUAGCGCAUUUUUGCACAUAUAUGGAUAAUGCACACCCAGAGCAUUCCGUUUGCAGUUACAUGUGGUUAUAUUUUUGUUCAACUCUAGCUAGAUUCCCAAGUGUCUGAAAAGUAGAAAACUUACUCUUCAUUAGGUUCCUUUAAAACUUUUUUCAAGAAAGGAAAGUCCUGAGGGUAUAGAAACUUUACGUACUUCAAUAUGUCACGUUAAGGCACUUCACAAUGUUUCGUUUACAGGAGGCCAAAGACCACAGAUCCACGCUGAUUGCUAAUUAUUCAGAUUGUAAAUAGCUUGUUCAAGAACUUAGGGUGAGACAAAAGAAACAGGAAGGAACAAAAGGCCCACAAUAAUGAAAAGGAUAUUGUGAAGAGAAAGGCUGGGUAGAAUUAUGAUGCAGGUCACAUCCUGUGCCUGUAUUUAAUUGUACCUUUGUAUUUAAUAAUAAAAAUGAUUACAUGCUCCGUGCUAACAGGUGUCCCUUCCGGAGAACGGUAGUGUGGAUAAGUGACAGCAAAUUACUCCAAUUCAUAAACUUUGAAUAUGAUGCUUUUAUUUUGAGUUUUUCCGGUCUAUACUAGAAGACAUUUUCUGCAGAAGUAUACAUCAAACCAAGAUGAUUUUAACACUUAAUUCCUGAUAAGUAUGUGUAAAAUAUAGAUGAAUACUUUGAAGUACGCAUGAGAAAAAAAGUUACUUUACAGGCCCUACUUAAUGAAACGGGGUUGUGCUAAUGCCACGUCGCAUUUCUGAUAGUUUAUGCUUCAUAUAAGCUUUGGAUAUAAUUGCAAAUUAGCAGUGAUUAAAGUUUAUAGUUGGUGGUCUUGCUGUUAGGGCUUAAUUGCCUUGUCUGCAUGUUCUCUACUUCUUGUUAAUCUGGGCUGCCUCUCCUGACUGCCCUGCCUAAAAUAUAACUCCUGCACCAAGGAUUUGCUCUCCCUGCCCCAGAUUUUUCCCUCCAUUGCCAUUGUUGUGAUUUCUAAUCAUCUUAUCAGUUGAUUUUAGUUGAUUUCAUCCGUCUUCCCAUUACAGCGUGGUUCCAUAAUGCAAAAGACUAGGGUAAUCCUAUUCUCCCUACUCAGUGGACCCCUAAGCCUAGCAUCGUGUCUGGCUCACAGUAUGUACUCAGUAGUUGUUAAAGGGAUCUGCCACCUGCUGUCCUAAUCAUACAUCAAACCCUCGUUUGCUUUAACUUUACCACUGGCCUUCUCCUUUUGCUUGUGUUUUCACCAGAGAUCUUGCGAUAGAAGACAUCCUGUUUCCACUGUCUGCUGGGCAGCUAGGUAGAGAGACAGUAGUUCCUUGGUUUAGUGGAGACCACAGCUAUGGAGGGUAGAGUUGAGUGGUCAGCAGCUGUUCCUAGAAUUUCUUAGUCUUGAGCACAUUUCCCUUAUUUGAGCAGUCUCUGACCUGUGAUUUCUGUAAUCAUGUACAUUUACUCAUUUAUUCACUCAGCGCAUUUUUGAAUAUCUACCAGGCAGCAAAUGCUGUGGUAGGUACUAGGAAAGCAAAAUGGAAUAAGGUGCACUCUGUUCUUUUAGGAACAUGUUAUUAGAACCAAGGUUCUCUAGACCUGAAACGGUGCCUCUUUAGGGGUCUGUUGGAGACCUGAUUUCUAGCACAGUUUCUGACACAUUAAAAGCAUUAGUACAUAUUUGCUCAAUACAUGAGUGAGCGUUGAAUGCAAAUAUUUAGAAAAUAGUUUGUGGUGUAAAAAGUGUAGGGUCAAAGUGUGACAGAAGCAGAGAGUAGAGAAGGCUAUUGGGCCUGAGAGGAGUCAGGGAAGGUUUCAUGAAGAAAAGAUGAAAGUUGAAUAGGCUACCAGGUAGGAUAGGAUGUCUCAUGGAGUAGGGACAACAUAAACAAAAAGAACAGCAGAGGCGUUUGAAAAUGGCACUAGAGUCAGCCCAGAGAUUUAGAGUCCAUGUGAGGAGGUCAUGGGCUUUGAGGCUCUUGGAACCAUUAAUUCCCUUAUUCAGGUACCUCUUGCUCUAACUAGCUCUGUGGCACAGCCUAAUCAUCUUACUCCCAUUUAUUUUAUACCAUUUCUAUGGGAAAAUGAGUUGUGUUCAAAAAUCACCAUCUUAGAAGGCAGUUUUGAAGAUAGAACCUAUUUUUAAUCAGGAUUAAUUUUAUUAGAAAAUUGCCUACACUGCCUGUAUAAAUUAUCUAUUGCCACAAUUCCACAUAACAAACAACCAUAAACCCCCAAGAGUAUAAAAACAGUUAGGAUUUAUUGUUCAUGCACUGGGGUGGUCCUCUAGGUGGUUCUUCUGAUCUUGUCUGGGGUUGGCUCAGGGAUUCUUCUGGUUUCCCCAGAAUUUGCACUAGUGUCUAGAGGUGUUGACUGCCAACCGAUGCAGAAUGGCCUUGGCUGAGAUGACUGGGGGCAACUUGCCACAUGCCUCUCAUCGCCCUCCUGGUACCAGCAGCCUAGCCUGGGUGCGUCUUUUGGCUUUGUAGAGCCUCCUUUUUAAAAGCACAUCGAUUAGUAUCCCAUUGACCCAAACAAUUUCACGUGGCUGAGUCCAGGGUUAGAGUGGGAGAGGACACUGAAGAUUCAUAGCAAGGGGUUACAGGGAGGUAUGAGGAAUUUUUUGCAAUACUGCAUAGCCCACAAAAGCCAUUCGAAUCAAGAUUUUACUGUAAUUCUAGAACUAAUGGAAGAAUAUAAUUUCCAGUUUUAUUUUUCUGAUUUCCUUUAUAAAGUACCUGCCGUUUGGUCUUCAUUCAUGCCCUUUCUCCUUUUCGACAUGCUGGGCCAAAGUGAGAGAGGCCAGAAAUGAGGAUUAGGUUGAAGUGAAAUCUUGAAAGGGGUAGGUAGCUAUUGAGGACUAGCCAUUACAUGCACUGUAUAAUUUCAGAGGUGCUACCCAGCUCCUCUCCUUGUCUAGGACCCUGAAGCCCUGAGGAGUCCCCCUAAACAUAUGACCCUGUCCAGAGCCAUUCUCCACCAUAUGUGGUAAGGUGCAUCCUCCCUUAGCUGUUUCACGAGCCUCCCUGAUCCCUGCCAUGCCCCACACAAAUAAUCACUUUUAUAAAUAAUGUACUAUUGGAAAUUGCAUUGUUGCCACAAUUGACUGUCAAAAGUAUGUUCUCAUGUUGAGUUUUCCUUUUCAAUUUUAUUCAUCAUAUGAACUUAAGCCAGAUUUUGUAAUCCCCUCACACACACCCACCCACACGUGCACGCGCACACACACACACACACACACACACACACACACCGUUUCUACUCUGCUUCUACCUGCACUCUUCCCAUCAGAAAGGGAAAUUUUAAGUAUAAUCAUUAUAUUAAAUCAGCUCAAGUUUAGUAGGUUAGCCUUUGAAUUGUCUUUGGCAGACUGCUAAGGAGAAGGUGCCCAAGAGGUCAUUGUGACACCGUCAGUCUGAGAGAAUGAAUCAGGCCCUGUGGAUUUUGUUAGGAAUGGGAUUUGAGCUUUAAGGAAGUGUUCUUUCUUUCAAGCAUCCUUUCUCCCCCUGCCAGAAGUAGUCAUACGAUUGCCCAAGACCCAGAUCAGGCAUAGGGAGAUGGAAGGAAAUAUUCUCAACAUUUCAACAGUGGCAGGUUUUAUUGAUGUUGAAGUCAUGGACAGGUGUUAUUUUAGUCAAGAGCUUUUUUUUUUUUUUUUUUUUUUUUUUUUUUUCCUAAAGGCUAGA